This 253-nucleotide ribosomal RNA is filed under the name uncultured bacterium. Its description in RNAcentral is "partial 16S ribosomal RNA". It matches the Rfam family "Bacterial small subunit ribosomal RNA", at positions 524 to 776 of the family's 1533-position model. The record is from RNAcentral.
UACAGAGGGUGCAAGCGUUGUCCGGAUUUAUUGGGCGUAAAGAGCGUGUAGGCGGCCAGGUAGGUCCGUUGUGAAAACUCGAGGCUCAACCUCGAGACGUCGGCGGAAACCAUCUGGCUAGAGUCCGGAAGAGGAGAGUGGAAUUCCUGGUGUAGCGGUGAAAUGCGCAGAUAUCAGGAAGAACACCCGUGGCGAAGGCGGCUCUCUGGGACGGUACUGACGCUGAGACGCGAAAGCGUGGGGAGCGAACAGG